GCUGGGCGCGGUGGCGCUUGCCUGUAGUCCCAGCUACUCAGGAGUCUGAGGUAGGAGAACUGAGGUUGAGGGAGGCUGAGGUGGGAGGAUCUCUUGAAUCCAGGAGUUCUGGGCUGCAGUGUGCUAUGCCGAUCGGGUGUCCGCAGUAAGUUCAGCAUCAAUAUGGUGACCUCCCGGGAGUGGGGGACCACCAGGUUGCCUAAGGAGGGGUGAACCGGCCCAGGUCAGAAAUGGAGCAGGUCAAAACUCCCGUGCUGAUCAGUAGUGGGAUCUCACCUGUGAAUAGCUACUGCACUCCAGCCUGGGCAACAUAGCAAGACCCCGUCACU
RNAcentral lists this signal recognition particle RNA (329 nucleotides) under Cebus imitator (Panamanian white-faced capuchin). RNAcentral's name for it is "Metazoan signal recognition particle RNA (ENSCCAG00000004956.1)". It matches the Rfam family "Metazoan signal recognition particle RNA". Rfam says of the family: The signal recognition particle (SRP) is a universally conserved ribonucleoprotein. The record is from RNAcentral. Lineage: Eukaryota; Metazoa; Chordata; Mammalia; Primates; Cebidae.